Molecule: ribosomal RNA, 251 nt
Filed under: uncultured prokaryote
Description: partial 16S rRNA
Rfam family: Bacterial small subunit ribosomal RNA
Source: RNAcentral
ACGGAGGAUGCAAGCGUUAUCCGGAUUCAUUGGGUUUAAAGGGUGCGCAGGCGGAUUAAUAAGUCAGUGGUGAAAUCCUACGGCUCAACUGUAGAACUGCCAUUGAUACUGUUAGUCUUGAGUAUUGUAGAGGUAGGCGGAAUGUGUCACGUAGCGGUGAAAUGCUUAGAUAUGAGGAGGAACACCGGUGGCGAAGGCAGCUUCCUGGGCAAAUACUGACGCUGACGCGCGAAAGCGUGGGGAGCAAACAG